This 82-nucleotide transfer RNA is filed under the name Bodo saltans. It matches the Rfam family "tRNA". From Rfam's summary of the family: Transfer RNA (tRNA) molecules are approximately 80 nucleotides in length. Lineage: Eukaryota; Euglenozoa; Kinetoplastea; Eubodonida; Bodonidae. The record is from Rfam by way of RNAcentral.
GCCAGGGUACCCAAGUUGGUCAAAGGGGUGAGACUUAAGAUCUCAUACGCAAGUUUCGUGGGUUCGAACCCCACCCCUGGCA